RNAcentral lists this ribosomal RNA (500 nucleotides) under uncultured bacterium. RNAcentral's name for it is "partial 16S ribosomal RNA". It matches the Rfam family "Bacterial small subunit ribosomal RNA", at positions 30 to 523 of the family's 1533-position model. The record is from RNAcentral.
AUUGAACGCUGGCGGCAUGCCUUACACAUGCAAGUCGAACGGCAGCACGGGAGCAAUCCUGGUGGCGAGUGGCGAACGGGUGAGUAAAGUAUCGGAACGUGCCCAGUCGUGGGGGAUAACGUAGCGAAAGUUACGCUAAUACCGCAUACGAUCUAUGGAUGAAAGCGGGGGAUCGCAAGACCUCGCGCGAUUGGAGCGGCCGAUAUCAGAUUAGGUAGUUGGUGGGGUAAAGGCUCACCAAGCCGGCGAUCUGUAGCUGGUCUGAGAGGACGACCAGCCACACUGGGACUGAGACACGGCCCAGACUCCUACGGGAGGCAGCAGUGGGGAAUUUUGGACAAUGGGCGAAAGCCUGAUUCAGCCAUGCCGCGUGCAGGAUGAAGGCCUUCGGGUUGUAAACUGCUUUUGUACGGAACGAAAAGGUUUGGCCUAAUAAGCUGAGCUCAUGACGGUACCGUAAGAAUAAGCACCGGCUAACUACGUGCCAGCCGCCGCGGUAA